RNAcentral lists this small RNA (28 nucleotides) under Bombyx mori (domestic silkworm). RNAcentral describes it as "ovarian small RNA-13966". Lineage: Eukaryota; Metazoa; Arthropoda; Insecta; Lepidoptera; Bombycidae. The record is from RNAcentral.
CCUCAGUAAUAAAUGUCCGAAAUGAUGG